Molecule: long non-coding RNA, 751 nt
Filed under: Homo sapiens (human)
Lineage: Eukaryota; Metazoa; Chordata; Mammalia; Primates; Hominidae
Description: SEC61G divergent transcript
Source: RNAcentral
ACGCUUCCUGGAAGAGAUGCAUUGCGGAGCUCGCUAGUUGGGGCGUUGGCCUUCCUUAGGAGUGUGAGUCUAGCGUUAUCCCUUUUUUCCGGCUGGAUCCCGGGUUACCCCACCAGCCCGACCUCAACCCACUCACGUCCACAGCACGAGCCCCAGCGGCCUUGCGCGGUGCUUGCUCUCUAGUAGCGGCUGACUAGGACUUUGCGUGUGACCACUGCACCUCCAGGAAGGCCAGGUGCACAUCGCUUCCCAUGCGCCCGGCCUCAUGGCCUUUGGGGGUUGUCGUGUGGAAUGGAGAUGACACGAGUGCUGCAUGUGAGGUCAGUCAGGAUCUUUGAUUUUGGAGCACAAGCCUUCUGCGUGCUACUGACUGGGUCCUGGCCUCCCUCCUUCCAUGGCAUCGUCGUGAAUGGGAAUUUCCACCACUGCCUCCAUUAGGUAACUAUGUCAGAAGAUUGAACAUGUUGUAACUGUAGAAAGCCCGUCAUCCUUGUGUAUGCACUUGCUGAAAGAUCCACUGAAGAGCAACCUUCAUGAACAUUACCAGGGGACUUGUGCUCCUAUAAAACGCACUGUUUUCCUCACUGCGAGGUGGGUCUCUCACCGCGAUGGACUAUCUGUGAUCACAGAGCACUUCUUCCCUGGGCCUUCCCUGUCACACUGAUGGUGUGAGUAUGUAGGGCAGGGGUGGGAGUGAACAUGUUAAUCUCUUUUGAAUAAACUGAUUUUGAAGUAGAUGUCUCAAAAAAAA